RNAcentral lists this transfer-messenger RNA (165 nucleotides) under Sphingomonadales bacterium. Its description in RNAcentral is "partial transfer-messenger RNA". It matches the Rfam family "Alphaproteobacteria transfer-messenger RNA", at positions 1 to 158 of the family's 355-position model. From Rfam's summary of the family: Bacterial tmRNA, also known as 10Sa RNA or SsrA, is named for its dual tRNA and mRNA-like properties. Its role is to liberate the mRNA from a stalled ribosome. To accomplish this part of the tmRNA is used as a reading frame that ends in a translation stop signal. The record is from RNAcentral. Lineage: Bacteria; Pseudomonadati; Pseudomonadota; Alphaproteobacteria; Sphingomonadales.
GCCCUUUUAUUUCAGCGCGAUGUGCUUAUAUGGAUACUGCCGGGUCCGCCCGGCUAUGAGGAUAAACGACGGCGUGCAAUAGGCGCAGCGGACCCGGGGGCAGUACCCGGCGGCUCCACCAUAACCGGUGGUGUAUCUGGACACCGUUUCUGACGGGGCCGAACC